ACACACACACACACACACACACACGGCGGUGAGAGCAUAGAACGCACAGAAGCCUCUAGCAAGGUGAGAUGCAGGGGUUUCUUUUGUUUUUGACAGGAUUUGUUCUGUCUGUGGGGGGGUAAAGAAAACAAAGAAAGCUCACUGACCCUUUACAUUUGUAACUGCACUGUGGCAGCAGAGGCCAGGCUAUGUUCAGGAUUUAUGGGGAGAACUCCUGUGUCCACAUCACCUUUUUUUUCUUCUUUAGUUUUUCUUCUGAAAACCCUUACUGUGCAAAGACCUCACCAAACAUCGAGCUAUUGAUCUUAAAAGAGGUGUCCACACUAUUCACUGGAGAAUCUUGACUGGGCAAAGUCGAGAUCAGUUACUCUCCAGAGAGGUGUCUUAGAUCUCUGAAAUGGUCAUUCAUCAUCUCGACUAAAUCUUUCCUGUCAAACUACUACAAACACAGAGGGAAGCGUAACUGAGCUUCUCUAGCCAUCGUGAAUUAUCUGCAUUCAUGGAGGCUACAGCAUGUCAAGUCAGCUAACAGAGUUCUAGAAGCUCGCUCACAAAGGUAAGCACACAAGUUUCUCAACAGUGACAGAACAAAAUCCCCCAUUGCAAGACACCCAAAUGUUCCCUCAAACUGCAUCUCUGCACACAAUAAAAAAAGAAAGAUCUAGAAACAUCCAAAAGAUUUCAAAGUUUCUGCUGCGGAACGAGCGAAUCGAUAGCACGUGAAACAUUGAAAAGCCUUGGACAUCUCAGGGUUAAAUGUGUGCUUUUUGUUUAAUUCUUCCCUCCUUCUCUCUAUAAUGGGGCUCGGGAGACUGCGUUUGAUGAUUCCAGAGAAAUCAAACCGAGGGCAAUGCUAUGCUGCGCUGCACUGCACUGCACUGUGCUUCUGCGGCGGCAGCGGCGG
Long non-coding RNA from Clupea harengus (Atlantic herring), 904 nucleotides. RefSeq lists it as uncharacterized. NCBI's taxonomy places the organism in Eukaryota, Metazoa, Chordata, Actinopteri, Clupeiformes, Clupeidae. The record is from RefSeq and is a predicted model, not a curated record.